This is a long non-coding RNA of Solenopsis invicta (red fire ant), 3306 nucleotides long. RefSeq lists it as uncharacterized. The record is from RefSeq and is a predicted model, not a curated record. NCBI's taxonomy places the organism in Eukaryota, Metazoa, Arthropoda, Insecta, Hymenoptera, Formicidae. The transcript is spliced from 2 exons.
UGCAAUAUUUCCGGAAUAUUACUGGCAUAUGCCAUGCGAUGUUGCAGGCAUAUUGUUAAUUUAUGUUUCUGCAAUGUCUCCGUAUUGCAUUGCAAUCUGCAACAUUGCAACAUUGCUGCAAUGUUGCUGCAAUUUUAUGUGCUGUUUGGGUAUGAGCGGAACUGUUGAUCGGCCAGACCACAGUAUAAGAAAGAACAGUAGGUCGAUUCCGUCAUAAAGCACGACGAAAGUUGUUCUUUGCGCAUGACCGAAUCGCACAACCAGCAGUAUGGCGAUUAAGUUCUGAUUGGACGAUUCCAGCAUAUGGCGUCAUUAACCCGACUCAGGUUAAGUUAAACCACUGCGCUCACAAACGCUAUUGGAUCCACGCAUAACCAGCAACAUGGCGAUUUUGUAGUCAUCAUAUCAAAGGUGCCGACACCGACCUACUGUUCUUUCUUAUACUGUGGCCAGACCACGUGCCAUCGAACGGAACAAGUAAUAAUCGGACGGCGCAAUAUCUGGGGAAUAUGGCGGGUGGGGUAGGAAUUCCCAUUUGAGGGUGCCGUCACAUAGGGCGUAACUUGCGUAAGCGUAACUUGUGCCAAUGAUAUUGUUUUACUAAAACAUCAGCUUCCGCCUAGUUACUUUACGCUUUUUACGUUAUUAUCGUUACGUCAAAUUCAAUUUCAUGCGUAAGAAACACUGUACAUGUAGUAAUACAUGUAUUGGUAACACAUGUAUUCUUAACUUAAUAAUAUAAUGCUGCUUUGCUUAUAUAAUGCUGCUACUUUAAGACAACUCAAGUUUUGGAGAACUUAUUGUACGAACGAUGUCUUCAACAAUCUUUUAACACACAAAGCAUUAUAAUUAAUUAAAUUAGCAGUUUAAAAAAAAUAUAUUCUAAGUGCAAUAUUUACAAAAAAGUGAACCUACUUUUUCAGAUUUAGGUUUUUCUGGUAUAACCUAGGAGCAAUAUAUAUUUUUUUAACAAAUGUAAAAACUAUUUGUUAACAAGAGUUCUUUUAAUAGACAAAAUUUCCAAUUUCUUAACAAGAGUUUAGGUUUUAACUUAAGUGCGAUGUAUGCCCGCACAGGUUAGAUUCGCACAUAGAUGAUUCACACAUACUAGUGUGCAGAGUAUCAGUUUCACAUGAGGCGUACUUUCCGAGACGCGUAAAUUACAAAAACCAAUCGUAAAUUUGUUUAGCAUUUUUGUUAGAGAGUACAAGAAAAAUCCUAAUGAGCAAUUGGUUGCAUUAGAUAUGCAUUUUUUGAAAUUCCGUGAAAUACGCUUUUUUGUGAAAGAAGGCUUUUAAAAUGGCGUAACGUAUUUUAGAAGUUACUAGAAUACGCAAAUUACGCUACGCAACACAUGUGACGGCACCCUGAACGUUUCUACGUAGGUUUUAACGGGUUUGGCAAUGAGGCUGAGCGUUGUCAUGCAAUAGAAUCACUUUGUCUGCUCGUAUUGUGGCCGUUUUUCGCGCAGUGCUCGGCUCAGUCGCAUCAAUUGAAGUCGAUACCGUUCUCCAGUGAUGGUUUCAACAGCUCAUUCAGCGUCUUUGAAUGUUUUUGGCCUUCCUUCACGCGGACGGUCGUCAACAUCGAAAUCACCGUCUUUGAAACUACGGAACCAAUCACGGCACGUUGUUUCACUUAGAACAGCAUUUCCGUAAACUUUUUGGAGCUCUUGAUGCGCUUUAGCCGCCGCUUUCUUUGAAUGAAAUAAGAAAAUCAACACUUUCCGCAAAUGACGAUUAUUUGGCACAAAAUCAGACAUUUUCACACAAUCAAAAGUAUAUGACGCCAAAAUAAAAUCACUAACGUGUCAACGCGGUUUGUUUACCAUAUGUCUAAGCUUGAUUCAUGACGUUUUGAAUAUGUCUAAAGCUGCGUUCCGAUAUACACUGCAAGUACUGAAAAUCUAUAGUUCACGUUAUAUAUACUAUAGAUUUUCAGUACUGGCAGUGAAUUUCGGAACGCAGUCUUUAAAUUGACCAGCACUAGAGACCCUAUAUCAGAGUCUGGACAAGACGCGAUUUGGGCAAAAUCGCACGAGAGAGAAAGAGAUACACUUCUCUCUCUAACUUAUUCUUGACGUAUCUAACCUUAACUUAAACGCGAAAUCACGUGACACGUAAAACUAUUGUUGUUGUGUGUUCUUUGUGCAAGUUUAUUUUAAAAAUUAUAAAAAAUGGGUGGCUGUGCAACCCCAUUUUGUAAUAAUUCUAGAGCUAUGAUAAUGAUGACAGCGAAUAUUUAUCAGGCUUUAUUAAAUAUUUGUCAGAAGAAAAACAAACAAAUAAAGAAAACAUUGAUAUAAACAAUAAUAACACAAGUAAUAGCGCAAUUCCGCUUUUCAAUAAACAUUUAAUAAGAUUAUCAAAUUUAGAAUUAAAUAGUUUAUAUAGCAUUGCCGGGUACCUCAUACAAUCUAUUACAAAACAAUACAGACUGUGUAAUAAAUGUUUAAAAUUAGUUGGCUCAAAAACUCCAAUAUUAUAUUCAUUUACCAAAUUCGUAUAAUUAAAAUGUUACACAAAUAAUUGUUUAUUUUUUGUUAAUGUUGAAACUUUUUUAAUCUUUUUUAGGUUUGAACAAAUGUUUCGACAUUAUUCUAAAUAUUUUAAUAACAUUACAGAUAUGAGUUUAAAAAAUUUUUUAAUUAAAGAAUGUAGUAAAGUUACAGCUAACCAUAUUUUACCAUGUCACAACUUAUAUAUAAAUAUAAUUAAGAGGCGGGAGUUGAGAACCAAAACUGAAGAACCAAUCAAAAGUGAUUAUCGCCUGUCCAGUCUCUGAUAUAGGGUCUCUAACCAGCACUUACUAGUGGAGCAAUCUAUUGACAAACAGCGGGAACUUAGUUGCGCACCUAAUAGUUCUAAUUUUGUCCGCGACGGAAUGUCGCUCCGUCAACAAGGAGUUCUCGGCUGAGGAGUCAGGAACCUUACAAAUUUUUUUUUAUAUAAUUAGAACUUGAAAGUUUGUAAGAGAUUCUGUGUUGUACGCUAAGCAUCACUGCAUACGAAUUAUGUACAUACAUUAGUGUUUUUUAAUUAACAUGAUAAUAAGCACGGCGAAUACAUCAUUCAAUGUAUUAUAAUAUCGGAAAUUUGCAACAAAAUGCGAAUCAACUCCAUCAAAUAAUUACAUUUGCAAAGAAUAUUAAUUUGGAGACUUUAUAAAAAUUAACUCAGUAUGUUAUAAACACUUUACGUUUCUUUUAUUAAAUAUAAUAUUAUUUUGCAGUUAAUCUAUUUGAAAUUUUUAUAUAAUUCACACAUUUACAAAGUCAUAUAAAAUGUUCUCAUAUUAAUGGGCAUC